Long non-coding RNA from Lonchura striata (white-rumped munia), 532 nucleotides. RefSeq lists it as uncharacterized. The record is from RefSeq and is a predicted model, not a curated record. Lineage: Eukaryota; Metazoa; Chordata; Aves; Passeriformes; Estrildidae.
UUAAAUGGCAAAGAUAACUAAAAAGUCUUCUUCUCCCAGAACUUAUGUAAGGAAAAGCCCAUAAUUUCUGUUUCCAUUUCCCACAGAGGGAACCUACCAAUGAUGGCAGACACUGGUGCGGAUGUGACAAUCCUCUCCAAGGCAAAGUGGCCCCGCGACUGGGAGUUGGGCCCCCUUGUGGCACAAUCUCUGGUAUCGAGGAAGCUGUCUAUUCGAUGAGAUCCAAACAUGUGUGCAUCAGAGCAUGCAUGACCCAUUUGGAGAUGUGAUGGCCACCCUGGUAAUACCUCCCAGGAAACCCCAGACCGCUGUGAGAGCUGCUGCCAUCACCAUCAUCCUGUUACACAUCCAAACAGCAGCCAGGUGGAUUGUACCGCAGCUGAAGAAAAACAUAUAGAUGACACUUGCAAAAGCCCUCAAACAGAAGAACUUCUGUCAGACCAUGGGAAGCGUGAAUGACCUAUUGUCAAUGUGCCUGGUGGGAAUCCCCUGUCACCAAAUGAUUAGCCCUGUACAGGUUGCUGCUGUGAAG